GGGGCCAUAGCUCAGUAGUAGAGCAUCCACCUUAGAAGCAGAAGGUCCCAGAUUCAAUCCCUGGCACCUCCA
Molecule: non-coding RNA, 72 nt
Organism: Podarcis lilfordi (Lilford's wall lizard)
Lineage: Eukaryota; Metazoa; Chordata; Lepidosauria; Squamata; Lacertidae
Source: the annotation of a GenBank genome assembly